Molecule: ribosomal RNA, 300 nt
Filed under: uncultured Actinoallomurus sp.
Lineage: Bacteria; Bacillati; Actinomycetota; Actinomycetes; Streptosporangiales; Thermomonosporaceae
Description: bacterial SSU rRNA
Rfam family: Bacterial small subunit ribosomal RNA
Source: RNAcentral
GGUACGCUGGUGCCGGCAGGCGCGGUAAGAGGAAGGGGGGUAGCGUGGGUCGGAAUCACUGGGAGUAAAGCGCACGGAGGCGGGUCCUUAAGUCGGUGGUGAAAUCCUGGAGCUCAACUCCAGAACCGCCUUCGAUACUGAGGGUCUCGAGUCCGGGAGAGGUGAGGGGAACUGCGAGUGUAGAGGUGAAAUUCGUAGAUAUUCGCAAGAACACCAGUGGCGAAGGCGGCUCACUGGCCCGGUACUGACGCUGAGGUGCGAAAGCGUGGGGAGCAAACAGGAUUAGAUACCCGUGUAGUC